Molecule: ribosomal RNA, 486 nt
Filed under: uncultured bacterium
Lineage: Bacteria
Description: partial 16S ribosomal RNA
Rfam family: Bacterial small subunit ribosomal RNA
Source: RNAcentral
GUUGAACGCUGGCGGCAUGCCUUACACAUGCAAGUCGAACGGCAGCACGGGUGCUUGCACCUGGUGGCGAGUGGCGAACGGGUGAGUAAUACAUCGGAACAUGUCCUGUAGUGGGGGAUAGCCCGGCGAAAGCCGGAUUAAUACCGCAUACGAUCUACGGAUGAAAGCGGGGGACCUUCGGGCCUCGCGCUAUAGGGUUGGCCGAUGGCUGAUUAGCUAGUUGGUGGGGUAAAGGCCUACCAAGGCGACGAUCAGUAGCUGGUCUGAGAGGACGACCAGCCACACUGGGACUGAGACACGGCCCAGACUCCUACGGGAGGCAGCAGUGGGGAAUUUUGGACAAUGGGCGAAAGCCUGAUCCAGCAAUGCCGCGUGUGUGAAGAAGGCCUUCGGGUUGUAAAGCACUUUUGUCCGGAAAGAAAUCCUUGGCCCUAAUACGGUCGGGGGAUGACGGUACCGGAAGAAUAAGCGCCGGCUAACUACGUG